AGUAAAUAGCUAAUAUAAGUUUGUUAGUUACAUUAAUAAGAUACCAAGAGAGGUUUUACUUUU
Molecule: transfer RNA, 63 nt
Filed under: Arytainilla spartiophila (broom psyllid)
Lineage: Eukaryota; Metazoa; Arthropoda; Insecta; Hemiptera; Psyllidae
Description: tRNA-Val
Source: RNAcentral